UACGUAGGGUGCGAGCGAUAAUCGGAAUUACUGGGCGUAAAGCGUGCGCAGGCGGUUUGCUAAGACAGGUGUGAAAUCCCCGGGCUUAACCUGGGAACUGCGCUUGUGACUGGCAGGCUAGAGUACGGUAGAGGGGGGUGGAAUUCCUGGUGUAGCAGUGAAAUGCGUAGAUAUCAGGAGGAACACCGAUGGCGAAGGCAGCCCCCUGGGCCUGUACUGACGCUCAUGCACGAAAGCGUGGGGAGCAAACAGGAUUAGAUA
RNAcentral lists this ribosomal RNA (261 nucleotides) under uncultured prokaryote. RNAcentral's name for it is "partial 16S ribosomal RNA". It matches the Rfam family "Bacterial small subunit ribosomal RNA", at positions 524 to 784 of the family's 1533-position model. The record is from RNAcentral.